UACGUAGGGGGCAAGCGUUAUCCGGAAUACUGGGCGUAAAGCGCACGCAGGCGGUUUUCUACGUUCAUGGUGACAGUCUCCGGCUUAACCGGGGAAGCGUUUUGAAAACGGGAAAACUUGAGAACGAGAGAGGGAGACGGAACUCCGAGUGGAGCAGUGAAAUGCGUAGAGAUUCGGAAGAACACCAAAGGCGAAGGCAGUCUCCUGGCUCGUUUCUGACGCUCAGGUGCGAAAGCGAGGGGAGCAAACGGG
Molecule: ribosomal RNA, 252 nt
Filed under: uncultured bacterium
Lineage: Bacteria
Description: partial 16S ribosomal RNA
Rfam family: Bacterial small subunit ribosomal RNA
Source: RNAcentral